This 269-nucleotide ribosomal RNA is filed under the name uncultured prokaryote. RNAcentral's name for it is "partial 16S ribosomal RNA". It matches the Rfam family "Bacterial small subunit ribosomal RNA", at positions 524 to 792 of the family's 1533-position model. The record is from RNAcentral.
UACGUAGGUGGCAAGCGUUAUCCGGAUUUACUGGGUGUAAAGGGCGUGUAGGCGGGAAGGCAAGUCAGAUGUGAAAACUAUGGGCUCAACCCAUAGCCUGCAUUUGAAACUGCUUUUCUUGAGUGUCGGAGAGGUAAUCGGAAUUCCGUGUGUAGCGGUGAAAUGCGUAGAUAUACGGAGGAACACCAGUGGCGAAGGCGGAUUACUGGACGAUAACUGACGCUGAGGCGCGAAAGCGUGGGGAGCAAACAGGAUUAGAUACCCGUGUA